GCGAACGCUGGCGGCAGGCCUAACCCAUGCAAGUCGAACGCACUCUUCGGAGUUAGUGGCGGACGGGUGAGUAACACGUGGGAACGUGCCUUUUGGUUCGGAAUAACUCAGGGAAACUUGUGCUAAUACCGAAUGUGCCCUUCGGGGGAAAGAUUUAUCGCCAUUAGAGCGGCCCGCGUCUGAUUAGCUAGUUGGUGAGGUAACGGCUCACCAAGGCGACGAUCAGUAGCUGGUCUGAGAGGAUGACCAGCCACACUGGGACUGAGACACGGCCCAGACUCCUACGGGAGGCAGCAGUGGGGAAUCUUGCGCAAUGGGCGAAAGCCUGACGCAGCCAUGCCGCGUGAAUGAUGAAGGUCUUAGGAUUGUAAAAUUCUUUCACCGGGGACGAUAAUGACGGUACCCGGAGAAGAAGCCCCGGCUAACUUCGUG
Molecule: ribosomal RNA, 432 nt
Filed under: uncultured bacterium
Lineage: Bacteria
Description: partial 16S ribosomal RNA
Rfam family: Bacterial small subunit ribosomal RNA
Source: RNAcentral